GGAUUGUAGCUCAGUGGUAGAGCGCUUGCCUAGUAUGUGUGACUCACUGGGUUCGAUCCUCAGCACCA
RNAcentral lists this transfer RNA (68 nucleotides) under Marmota monax (woodchuck). RNAcentral's name for it is "tRNA.Thr". The record is from RNAcentral. Lineage: Eukaryota; Metazoa; Chordata; Mammalia; Rodentia; Sciuridae.